AUCGCUUCUCGGCCUUUUGGCUAAGAUCAAGUGUAGAUUUAUGUUAUUCUUGACAGAUUUCUUCAUGAGGUAAAUAUAACAAUAAUUAAUAAAUGUCUAAUUGUACCUGAAUCCUU
Molecule: small nuclear RNA, 116 nt
Organism: Equus asinus (donkey)
Lineage: Eukaryota; Metazoa; Chordata; Mammalia; Perissodactyla; Equidae
Gene: U2
Rfam family: U2 spliceosomal RNA
About the family: U2 is a small nuclear RNA (snRNA) component of the spliceosome (involved in pre-mRNA splicing). Complementary binding between U2 snRNA (in an area lying towards the 5' end but 3' to hairpin I) and the branchpoint sequence (BPS) of the intron results the bulging out of an unpaired adenosine, on the BPS, which initiates a nucleophilic attack at the intronic 5' splice site, thus starting the first of two transesterification reactions that mediate splicing.
Source: Ensembl